GUCACACUAUCAUUAACUGAAUCCAUAGGUUAAUGAGGCGAACCGGGGGAACUGAAACAUCUAAGUACCCCGAGGAAAAGAAAUCAACCGAGAUUCCCCCAGUAGCGGCGAGCGAACGGGGAGGAGCCCAGAGCCUGAAUCAGCAUGUGUGUUAGUGGAAGCGUCUGGAAAGGCGCGCGAUACAGGGUGACAGCCCCGUACACAAAAGCGCAUGUGCUGUGAGCUCGAUGAGUAGGGCGGGACACGUGGUAUCCUGUCUGAAUAUGGGGGGACCAUCCUCCAAGGCUAAAUACUCCUGACUGACCGAUAGUGAACCAGUACCGUGAGGGAAAGGCGAAAAGAACCCCGGCGAGGGGAGUGAAAAAGAACCUGAAACCGUGUACGUACAAGCAGUGGGAGCACAGGUUUACCUGUGUGACUGCGUACCUUUUGUAUAAUGGGUCAGCGACUUAUAUUCUGUAGCAAGGU
Molecule: ribosomal RNA, 468 nt
Filed under: Salmonella enterica subsp. enterica serovar Enteritidis
Lineage: Bacteria; Pseudomonadati; Pseudomonadota; Gammaproteobacteria; Enterobacterales; Enterobacteriaceae
Description: partial 23S ribosomal RNA
Rfam family: Bacterial large subunit ribosomal RNA
Source: RNAcentral